RNAcentral lists this ribosomal RNA (513 nucleotides) under uncultured bacterium. Its description in RNAcentral is "partial 16S ribosomal RNA". It matches the Rfam family "Bacterial small subunit ribosomal RNA", at positions 28 to 523 of the family's 1533-position model. The record is from RNAcentral.
GACGAACGCUGGCGGCAUGCCUAAUACAUGCAAGUCGAGCGAACAGAUGAAGUGCUUGCACUUCUGACGUUAGCGGCGAACGGGUGAGUAACACGUAAGGAAUCUACCUAUAAGCGGGGGAUAACAUUCGGAAACGGGUGCUAAUACCGCAUAAUAUCUUCUUCCGCAUGGAAGAAGAUUGAAAGACGGCUCUGCUGUCACUUAUAGAUGACCUUGCGGUGCAUUAGUUAGUUGGUGGGGUAAUGGCCUACCAAGACGAUGAUGCAUAGCCGACCGGGGAGGGUGAUCGGCCACAUUGGGACUGAGACACGGCCCAAACUCCUACGGGAGGCAGCAGUAGGGAAUCUUCCGCAAUGGGCGAAAGCCUGACGGAGCAAUGCCGCGUGAGUGAAGAAGGCCUUCGGGUCGUAAAACUCUGUUAUAAGAGAAGAACAAAUUGUAGAGUAACUGCUACAGUCUUGACGGUAUCUUAUCAGAAAGCCACGGCUAACUACGUGCCAGCCGCCGCGGUAA